GCUGGGCGUGGUGGCGGGCGCCUGUAAUCCCAGCUACUUGGGAGGCUGAGGCAGGAGAAUUACUCGAACCCAGGAGGCAGAGGCUGCAGUGAGCUGAGAUCGUGCCACUGCACUCCAGCCUGGGUGACAGAGUGAGACUCUGUCUCAA
Molecule: non-coding RNA, 148 nt
Organism: Homo sapiens (human)
Lineage: Eukaryota; Metazoa; Chordata; Mammalia; Primates; Hominidae
Rfam family: Metazoan signal recognition particle RNA
About the family: The signal recognition particle (SRP) is a universally conserved ribonucleoprotein.
Source: Rfam